This is a long non-coding RNA of Pipistrellus kuhlii (Kuhl's pipistrelle), 214 nucleotides long. RefSeq lists it as uncharacterized. Lineage: Eukaryota; Metazoa; Chordata; Mammalia; Chiroptera; Vespertilionidae. The transcript is spliced from 3 exons. The record is from RefSeq and is a predicted model, not a curated record.
CCUGGUUCUAUUAUUAACUGGUGAGUAGCCAUACAGAAGGCAUUGCGCUUGUAGGAACCCCAACCCAUCAUAUGUAAAGUAAUAGCAGGAUAAUUACUGUUUAUUAGCAUUUAAUGUGUGAGCACCUCCCUCAGGCAGUUCUGCCUCAUCUAUGUCAUAACAUUGUUAGUUGAUCAUGUAGGAAAAAGGGUGUAAAAAACAGCCUUUAAACCAU